UGUGUGUGUGUGUGUGUGUGUACAUGCACAUGUGUGACAUAUACAUAGACACACACUCUCACUCAUACA
Non-coding RNA from Podarcis lilfordi (Lilford's wall lizard), 69 nucleotides. Lineage: Eukaryota; Metazoa; Chordata; Lepidosauria; Squamata; Lacertidae. The record is from the annotation of a GenBank genome assembly.